UAAAAAAUAGUGUAGUGGGUGCACGAGGGGUUUUGAUCCUCUAAGGGCAGGUUCGAGUCCUGUUUUUUUA
This 70-nucleotide transfer RNA is filed under the name Paramesotriton hongkongensis (Hong Kong warty newt). Its description in RNAcentral is "tRNA-Gln". It matches the Rfam family "tRNA". From Rfam's summary of the family: Transfer RNA (tRNA) molecules are approximately 80 nucleotides in length. The record is from RNAcentral. Lineage: Eukaryota; Metazoa; Chordata; Amphibia; Caudata; Salamandridae.